GACGAACGCUGGCGGCGUGCUUAACACAUGCGAGUCGAACGGAAAGGCCCUGCUUGCAGGGUACUCGAGUGGCGAACGGGUGAGUAACACGUGGGUGAUCUGCCCUGCACUUCGGGAUAAGCCUGGGAAACUGGGUCUAAUACCGGAUAGGAGCCAUUUUUAGUGUGAUGGUUGGAAAGUUUUUUCGGUGUAGGAUGAGCUCGCGGCCUAUCAGCUUGUUGGUGGGGUAAUGGCCUACCAAGGCGGCGACGGGUAGCCGGCCUGAGAGGGUGGACGGCCACAUUGGGACUGAGAUACGGCCCAGACUCCUACGGGAGGCAGCAGUGGGGAAUAUUGCACAAUGGGCGCAAGCCUGAUGCAGCGACGCCGCGUGGGGGAUGACGGCCUUCGGGUUGGAAACUCCUUUCGCUAGGGACGAAGCUUUUUGUGACGGUACCUAGAUAAGAAGCACCGGCUAACUACGUG
RNAcentral lists this ribosomal RNA (465 nucleotides) under uncultured bacterium. Its description in RNAcentral is "partial 16S ribosomal RNA". It matches the Rfam family "Bacterial small subunit ribosomal RNA", at positions 28 to 507 of the family's 1533-position model. The record is from RNAcentral.